GUAACAUUUCUAGCUUGCUAGAAGAUGACGAGUGGCGGACGGGUGAGUAAUGCUUGGGAACUUGCCUUUGCGAGGGGGAUAACAGUUGGAAACGACUGCUAAUACCGCAUAAUGUCUACGGACCAAACGGGGCUUCGGCUCCGGCGCAAAGAGAGGCCCAAGUGAGAUUAGCUAGUUGGUAAGGUAACGGCUUACCAAGGCGACGAUCUCUAGCUGUUCUGAGAGGAAGAUCAGCCACACUGGGACUGAGACACGGCCCAGACUCCUACGGGAGGCAGCAGUGGGGAAUAUUGCACAAUGGGGGAAACCCUGAUGCAGCCAUGCCGCGUGUGUGAAGAAGGCCUUCGGGUUGUAAAGCACUUUCAGUUGUGAGGAAAAGUUAGUAGUUAAUACCUGCUAGCCGUGACGUUAACAACAGAAGAAGCACCGGCUAACUCCGUGCCAGCAGCCGCGGUAAUACGGAGGGUGCGAGCGUUAAUCGGAAUUACUGGGCGUAAAGCGCACGCAGGCGGUUUGUUAAGCUAGAUGUGAAAGCCCCGGGCUCAACCUGGGAUGGUCAUUUAGAACUGGCAGACUAGAGUCUUGGAGAGGGGAGUGGAAUUCCAGGUGUAGCGGUGAAAUGCGUAGAUAUCUGGAGGAACAUCAGUGGCGAAGGCGACUCCCUGGCCAAAGACUGACGCUCAUGUGCGAAAGUGUGGGUAGCGAACAGGAUUAGAUACCCUGGUAGUCCACACCGUAAACGCUGUCUACUAGCUGUGUGUGUCUUUAAGGCGUGCGUAGCGGAAGCUAACGCGCUAAGUAGACCGCCUGGG
Molecule: ribosomal RNA, 812 nt
Filed under: Alteromonas macleodii
Lineage: Bacteria; Pseudomonadati; Pseudomonadota; Gammaproteobacteria; Alteromonadales; Alteromonadaceae
Description: bacterial SSU rRNA
Rfam family: Bacterial small subunit ribosomal RNA
Source: RNAcentral